GGCCUCAUAGCUCAGUGCUUAGAGCACUGGUCUAGUGAUACCAGUGGUCUUGAGUUCAAUUCUCACUGAGGCCU
Hippocampus zosterae (dwarf seahorse) is the source of this 74-nucleotide non-coding RNA. Lineage: Eukaryota; Metazoa; Chordata; Actinopteri; Syngnathiformes; Syngnathidae. The record is from the annotation of a RefSeq genome assembly.